AUACGGAGGAUCCGAGCGUUAUCCGGAUUUAUUGGGUUUAAAGGGUGCGCAGGCGGCCAUUUAAGUCAGCGGUUAAAUCGUGGGGCUCAACCCCAUUCUGCCGUUGAUACUGGGUGGCUUGAUUGCGGUCGAGGUUGGCGGAAUUCGUUGUGUAGCGGUGAAAUGCAUAGAUAUGACGAAGAACACCGAUUGCGUAGGCAGCUGACCAGACCGCAAAUGACGCUCAUGCACGAAAGUGCGGGGAUCGAACAGGAUUAGAUACCCAGGUAGUCCGCACAGUAAACGAUGAAUACUUGUUUUCGGCGAUAUAAUGUCGGAGGCAAAGCGAAAGCGAUAAGUAUUCCACCUGGGGAGUACGACCGCAAGGUUGGAACUCAAAUGAAUUGGCGGGG
Molecule: ribosomal RNA, 392 nt
Filed under: uncultured bacterium
Lineage: Bacteria
Description: partial 16S ribosomal RNA
Rfam family: Bacterial small subunit ribosomal RNA
Source: RNAcentral